Molecule: ribosomal RNA, 433 nt
Filed under: uncultured bacterium
Lineage: Bacteria
Description: partial 16S ribosomal RNA
Rfam family: Bacterial small subunit ribosomal RNA
Source: RNAcentral
AACGAACGCUGGCGGCAGGCCUAACACAUGCAAGUCGAGCGAGGACUUCGGUCCUAGCGGCGGACGGGUGAGUAACGCGUGGGAACGUGCCCUUUGCUUCGGAAUAGCCCUGGGAAACUGGGAGUAAUACCGGAUGAGCCCUUUGGGGGAAAGAUUUAUCGGCGAAGGAUCGGCCCGCGUUGGAUUAGGUAGUUGGUGGGGUAAUGGCCUACCAAGCCGACGAUCCAUAGCUGGUUUGAGAGGAUGAUCAGCCACACUGGGACUGAGACACGGCCCAGACUCCUACGGGAAGCAGCAGUGGGGAAUCUUAGACAAUGGGGGAAACCCUGAUCUAGCCAUGCCGCGUGAGCGAUGAAGGCCUUAGGGUUGUAAAGCUCUUUCAGCUGGGAAGAUAAUGACGGAACCAGCAGAAGAAGCCCCGGCUAACUCCGUG